GAUGAAGAACGUAGCGAAAUGCGAUAAGUAAUGUGAAUUGCAGAAUUCAGUGAAUCAUCGAAUCUUUGAACGCACAUUGCGCCCGCCAGUAUUCUGGCGGGCAUGCCUGUUCGAGCGUCAUUUCAACCAUCAAGCCCUGCUUGCGUUGGGGUCCUGCGGCUGCCCGCAGGCCCUGAAAACCAGUGGCGGGCUCGCUAGUCACACCGAGCGCAGUAAUACAUCUCGCUUUGGGCGUGCGGCGGGUUCUUGCCGUUAAACACCCCCUUUUUACCAAGGUUGACCUCGGAUCAGGUAGGAAUUCCCGCUGAACUUAAGCAUAUCAAUAAGCGGAGGA
This 334-nucleotide unclassified non-coding RNA is filed under the name soil metagenome. RNAcentral describes it as "partial contains 5.8S ribosomal RNA, internal transcribed spacer 2, and large subunit ribosomal RNA". The stretch from base 1 to 120 matches the Rfam family "5.8S ribosomal RNA", at positions 35 to 154 of the family's 154-position model. The record is from RNAcentral.